CCUACGGGAGGCAGCAGUGGGGAAUAUUGCACAAUGGGGGAAACCCUGAUGCAGCGACGCCGCGUGAGUGAAGAAGUAUUUCGGUACGUAAAGCUCUAUCAGCAGGGAAGAAGAAAGACGGUACCAGACUAAGAAGCCCCGGCUAACUACGUGCCAGCAGCCGCGGUAAUAUGUAGGGGGCAAGCGUUAUUCGGAUUUACUGGGUGUAAAGGGAGCGUAGACGGCUGUGCAAGUCUGAAGUGAAAGCCCAGGGCUCAACCCUGGGACUGCUUUGGAAACUGUGGAGCUAGAGUGCUGGAGAGGUAAGUGGAAUUCCUUGUGUAGCGGUGAAAUGCGUAGAUAUUAGGAGGAACACCAGUGGCGAAGGCGGCUUACUGGACAGUAACUGACGUUGAGGCUCGAAAGCGUGGGGAGCAAACAGGAUUAGAUACCCCUGUAGUC
This 441-nucleotide ribosomal RNA is filed under the name uncultured bacterium. Its description in RNAcentral is "partial 16S ribosomal RNA". It matches the Rfam family "Bacterial small subunit ribosomal RNA", at positions 338 to 795 of the family's 1533-position model. The record is from RNAcentral.